Molecule: ribosomal RNA, 253 nt
Filed under: uncultured bacterium
Lineage: Bacteria
Description: partial 16S ribosomal RNA
Rfam family: Bacterial small subunit ribosomal RNA
Source: RNAcentral
UACGUAGGUGGCAAGCGUUGUCCGGAAUUAUUGGGCGUAAAGCGCGCGCAGGCGGUCCUUUAAGUCUGAUGUGAAAGCCCACGGCUCAACCGUGGAGGGUCAUUGGAAACUGGGGGACUUGAGUACAGAAGAGAAGAGUGGAAUUCCACGUGUAGCGGUGAAAUGCGUAGAGAUGUGGAGGAACACCAGUGGCGAAGGCGACUCUUUGGGACGGUACUGACGCUGAGACGCGAAAGCGUGGGGAGCGAACAGG